ACGGGUGAGUAUCGCGUAUCCAACCUGCCCCUUACUUGGGGAUACCCCGUCGAAAGACGGCCUAAUACCCGAUGUGUUUCAUUGACGGCAUCCGAUAUGAAACAAAGGUUUUUUCCGGUAAGGGAUGGGGAUGCGUCUGAUUAGCUUGUUGGCGGGGCAACGGCCCACCAAGGCGACGAUCAGUAGGGGUUCUGAGAGGAAGGUCCCCCACAUUGGAACUGAGACACGGUCCAAACUCCUACGGGAGGCAGCAGUGAGGAAUAUUGGUCAAUGGACGCAAGUCUGAACCAGCCAAGUAGCGUGCAGGAUGACGGCCCUAUGGGUUGUAAACUGCUUUUAUGUGGGAAUAAAGUGGCGCACGUGUGCGCCAUUGCAUGUACCUCAUGAAUAAGGACCGGCUAAUUCCGUGCCAGCAGCCGCGGUAAUACGUAGGGUGCGAGCGUUAAUCGGAAUUACUGGGCGUAAAGCGAGCGCAGACGGUUACUUAAGCAGGAUGUGAAAUCCCCGGGCUUAACCUGGGAACUGCGUUCUGAACUGGGUGACUAGAGUGUGUCAGAGGGAGGUAGAAUUCCACGUGUAGCAGUGAAAUGCGUAGAGAUGUGGAGGAAUACCGAUGGCGAAGGCAGCCUCCUGGGAUAACACUGACGUUCAUGCUCGAAAGCGUGGGUAGCAAACAGGAUUAGAUACCCUGGUAGUCCA
Molecule: ribosomal RNA, 699 nt
Filed under: uncultured bacterium
Lineage: Bacteria
Description: bacterial SSU rRNA
Rfam family: Bacterial small subunit ribosomal RNA
Source: RNAcentral